RNAcentral lists this ribosomal RNA (475 nucleotides) under uncultured bacterium. RNAcentral's name for it is "SSU rRNA". It matches the Rfam family "Bacterial small subunit ribosomal RNA", at positions 26 to 518 of the family's 1533-position model. The record is from RNAcentral.
AGGACGAACGCUGGCGGCGUGCUUAACACAUGCAAGUCGAGCGGAAAGGCCCUUCGGGUACUCGAGCGGCGAACGGGUGAGUAACACGUGAGUAAUCUGCCCCUAGCUCUGGGAUAGCUCCGGGAAACCGGGAUUAAUACCGGAUACGACCACCUUAGACAUCUUUUGUGGUGGAAAGAAUUUCGGCUAGGGAUGAGCUCGCGGCCUAUCAGCUUGUUGGUGGGGUAACGGCCUACCAAGGCGACGACGGGUAGCCGGCCUGAGAGGGCGACCGGCCACACUGGGACUGAGACACGGCCCAGACUCCUACGGGAGGCAGCAGUGGGGAAUAUUGCGCAAUGGGCGAAAAGCCUGACGCAGCGACGCCGCGUGGGGGAUGAAGGCCUUCGGGUUGUAAACCCUUUCUAGCAGGGACGAAGCGAAAGUGACGGUACCUGCAGAAGAAGACGCCGGCUAACUACGUGCCAGCAGCCGC